GGGAACGUGCCCUUCGGUUCGGAAUAACUCAGGGAAACUUGAGCUAAUACCGGAUACGCCCUUUUGGGGAAAGGUUUACUGCCGAAGGAUCGGCCCGCGUCUGAUUAGCUAGUUGGUGAGGUUACGGCUCACCAAGGCGACGAUCAGUAGCUGGUCUGAGAGGAUGAUCAGCCACACUGGGACUGAGACACGGCCCAGACUCCUACGGGAGGCAGCAGUGGGGAAUAUUGGACAAUGGGGGCAACCCUGAUCCAGCCAUGCCGCGUGAGUGAUGACGGCCUUAGGGUUGUAAAGCUCUUUUCUCCGGGACGAUAAUGACGGUACCGGAGGAAUAAGCCCCGGCUAACUUCGUGCCAGCAGCCGCGGUAAUACGAAGGGGGCUAGCGUUGCUCGGAAUCACUGGGCGUAAAGGGCGCGUAGGCGGCUGAUUUAGUCGAGGGUGAAAGCCCGUGGCUCAACCACGGAAUGGCCUUCGAUACUGGUUGGCUUGAGACCGGAAGAGGACAGCGGAACUGCGAGU
Molecule: ribosomal RNA, 520 nt
Filed under: uncultured bacterium
Lineage: Bacteria
Description: bacterial SSU rRNA
Rfam family: Bacterial small subunit ribosomal RNA
Source: RNAcentral